This 497-nucleotide ribosomal RNA is filed under the name uncultured bacterium. RNAcentral describes it as "partial 16S ribosomal RNA". It matches the Rfam family "Bacterial small subunit ribosomal RNA", at positions 28 to 507 of the family's 1533-position model. The record is from RNAcentral.
GAUGAACGCUGGCGGCGUGCCUAAUACAUGCAAGUCGAGCGAACGGACGAUAAGCUUGCUUCUCUGAUGUUAGCGGCGGACGGGUGAGUAACGCGUGGAUCACCUACCUAUAAUACGGGGAUAACUUCGGAAAACCGGAGCUAAUACCGGAUGAUAUUUUGAACCGCAUGGUUCAAAAGUGAAUGACGGUCUUGCUGUCUCUUAUAGAUGGAUCCGCGCUGCAUUAGCUAGUUGGUAAGGUAACGGCUUACCAAGGCAACGAUGCGUAGCCGAACUGAGAGGGUGAUCGGCCACACUGGAACUGAGACACGGUCCAGACUCCUACGGGAGGCAGCAGUAGGGAAUCUUACGCAAUGGGCGAAAGCCUGACGGAGCAACGCCGCGUGAGUGAUGAAGGUCUUCGGAUCGUAAAACUCUGUUAUUGGGGAAGAACAUAUGUGUAAGUAACUGUGCACAUCGUGACGGUACCUAAUCAGAAAGCCACGGCUAACUACGUG